Molecule: small nuclear RNA, 184 nt
Organism: Felis catus (domestic cat)
Lineage: Eukaryota; Metazoa; Chordata; Mammalia; Carnivora; Felidae
Product: U2 spliceosomal RNA
Exons: 1
Source: RefSeq, a predicted model, not a curated record
AUCGCUUCUCGGCCUUUUGGCGAAGAUCAAGUGUAAAAAAUUUUAAAGCAUUUUUUAAAAAAAUGUUUAUUUUUUAUUAUUUGUUUUGAGAGAGCAAAUGAAAGCAGAGAGAGAGGGGCAGAGAGAGAAUCCCAAGCAGGCUCUGUGUUGUUUGCGCAGAGCCAGAUGUGGGGUUCCAUCCCAC